Molecule: ribosomal RNA, 468 nt
Filed under: uncultured bacterium
Lineage: Bacteria
Description: partial 16S ribosomal RNA
Rfam family: Bacterial small subunit ribosomal RNA
Source: RNAcentral
GACGAACGCCUGCUCCUUUCUUAACACAUUCAAGUCGAACGUAAAGGCCCUGCUUUUUUGUUUUGCUCGAGUGGCGAACGGGUGAGUAACACGUGAGUAACCUGCCCUUGACUUUGGGAUAACUUCAGGAAACUGGGGCUAAUACCGGAUAGGAGCUCCUGCUGCAUGGUGGGGGUUGGAAAGUUUCGGCGGUUGGGGAUGGACUCGCGGCUUAUCAGCUUGUUGGUGGGGUAGUGGCUUACCAAGGCUUUGACUUGUAGCCGGCCUGAGAGGGUGACCGGCCACAUUGGGACUGAGAUACGGCCCAGACUCCUACGGGAGGCAGCAGUGGGGAAUAUUGCACAAUGGGCGGAAGCCUGAUGCAGCAACGCCGCGUGCGGGAUGAAGGCAGUCGGGUUGUAAACCGCUUUAGCCUGUGACGAAGCGUGAGUGACGGUAAUGGGUAAAGAAGCACAGGCUAACUACGGG